RNAcentral lists this ribosomal RNA (586 nucleotides) under Aureobasidium pullulans. RNAcentral's name for it is "partial large subunit ribosomal RNA". It matches the Rfam family "Eukaryotic large subunit ribosomal RNA", at positions 68 to 670 of the family's 3401-position model. The record is from RNAcentral. Lineage: Eukaryota; Fungi; Ascomycota; Dothideomycetes; Dothideales; Saccotheciaceae.
AAAGGGAUGCCCUAGUACGGCGAGUGAAGCGGCAACAGCUCAAAUUUGAAAGCUAGCCUUCGGGUUCGCAUUGUAAUUUGUAGAGGAUGAUUUGGGGAAGCCGCCUGUCUAAGUUCCUUGGAACAGGACGUCAUAGAGGGUGAGAAUCCCGUAUGUGACAGGAAAUGGCACCCUAUGUAAAUCUCCUUCGACGAGUCGAGUUGUUUGGGAAUGCAGCUCUAAAUGGGAGGUAAAUUUCUUCUAAAGCUAAAUAUUGGCGAGAGACCGAUAGCGCACAAGUAGAGUGAUCGAAAGAUGAAAAGCACUUUGGAAAGAGAGUUAAAAAGCACGUGAAAUUGUUGAAAGGGAAGCGCUUGCAAUCAGACUUGUUUAAACUGUUCGGCCGGUCUUCUGACCGGUUUACUCAGUUUGGACAGGCCAGCAUCAGUUUCGGCGGCCGGAUAAAGGCUCUGGGAAUGUGGCCUCCACUUCGGUGGAGGUGUUAUAGCCCAGGGUGUAAUACGGCCAGCCGGGACUGAGGUCCGCGCUUCGGCUAGGAUGCUGGCGUAAUGGUUGUAAGCGACCCGUCUUGAAACCACGGACCAAA